CAUCUGAAAAACUUGCUAGAGCUUAGGGAAAAGUGGAGAGGGGCUGGGGCCCUGGGAGGAGCCCGGUGGUGGUGACCUUUUAGGUCUAGUUGUGGAGGGGUGAGGGUACUGAACUCUGAUUGGUAAGCGCCAGCAGCUUUUUCUGUUAUUAUUGUUUUCUGGUAGUCGCCGCCAUCCUAGAGUCUGGAAGCUAGAGACAGCUUUGGUUUUCGUAUAAGGGUAAUGUUGGCUUCAUGAAAUGAGUUAAGAAAUAUCUCCUCUUCACGUGUUUCGAAAAGUUUGAGAAUAACAGAAACACUCAUGCUUUAUGAUGUACCUGCUACAACAGUCAUGUAUGAAGAAGUGAAGCGAGGGUGGUUCCAGUUCUCUUCAGGGGCUCCCAGCUCCAAUCUGAGUGCCGCCAAGACCUCCAGCAAGCACAUUGUGGGAGAGGAGGCAAGUGUCAUCUAGUGGAUAAAAAUCAGGGAUGCUGAUAAACUUGCUAGAAUUCAC
Long non-coding RNA from Pteropus alecto (black flying fox), 492 nucleotides. RefSeq lists it as uncharacterized. The transcript has 5 exons. The record is from RefSeq and is a predicted model, not a curated record. NCBI's taxonomy places the organism in Eukaryota, Metazoa, Chordata, Mammalia, Chiroptera, Pteropodidae.